This 24-nucleotide non-coding RNA is filed under the name Arabidopsis thaliana (thale cress). Lineage: Eukaryota; Viridiplantae; Streptophyta; Magnoliopsida; Brassicales; Brassicaceae. The record is from RNAcentral.
ACGUCUUCGACCUACUAUGACGGA